This is a non-coding RNA of Paramarasmius palmivorus, 91 nucleotides long. NCBI's taxonomy places the organism in Eukaryota, Fungi, Basidiomycota, Agaricomycetes, Agaricales, Marasmiaceae. The record is from the annotation of a GenBank genome assembly.
ACACCCGUUGGUGAAGUGGUUAUCAUGCUUGCCUUCCAUAUUAUGUGGGCGUGUUCAGCAAGCGGCUCGGGUUCGAUUCCCGAACGGUGUA